RNAcentral lists this unclassified non-coding RNA (186 nucleotides) under fungal sp. RNAcentral describes it as "partial internal transcribed spacer region". The stretch from base 1 to 46 matches the Rfam family "Eukaryotic small subunit ribosomal RNA", at positions 1786 to 1831 of the family's 1831-position model. Lineage: Eukaryota; Fungi. The record is from RNAcentral.
AAGUCGUAACAAGGUUUCCGUAGGUGAACCUGCGGAAGGAUCAUUACAAAUUAUGGCGAACUUCGCGUUUCGCGAGGUUUUGCGUCCACUUUUUCGUAUUUAAAACAUCCCACUCUUUAAAAAAAAAAAAAAUUAUCUAAUGAUAAAUAAAAAAGAUCACUUUCAACAACGGAUCUCUUGGUUCUC